RNAcentral lists this ribosomal RNA (119 nucleotides) under Petromyzon marinus (sea lamprey). The record is from RNAcentral. Lineage: Eukaryota; Metazoa; Chordata; Hyperoartia; Petromyzontiformes; Petromyzontidae.
UUUUCUUGCUAAAUCACCCCAAAUGCACCCGACCUCAUCAGAUCUUGGAAGCUAAGAAGAGUUGACCCUGGUUAGUACUUGGAUACCAGACUGCCUCGGAAUACCAGGUGUUGUAAGCU